UUCAGUCCUGACGGGAUCACAUAGUUUUCCAUCAGGAAGAGAUGAAAUCUCAUCUGCUCCAGUGUGUAGUUAUAGAACCAGCAGGUCUGUUGGUGGCCGUGAUGCAAAGGGAAGGCACGUGUUCCUGCCGUGGCCGGGAGGUCCUGCAGUGACCGCUCCAUGACUCGGCCACCUCCUGUGCUGCAGCCUUGCACCACAAGCACAAGGCGCUCCCACCAGGCAAAGCUUGGUGGAGAGCGUAGCUGUUCUCUGGUCCGUCUGCUGGUUACUACCGAGCUGCCCAGCCCAGUGGAGAAAAUGCUUUGAUGUUAAUGAGCUGCAGACAAUUUCACUUAACACCGAGCAGGGCCUGGCAUCUCAGAGGCAGUAGCAUGUUGCCAAGUGCAGUGAUUGACCCCUCAGAAACAGGGUACAAAAGAGUCUCUGGAUGUGCUGUAGCUUCCUUGGCUUCAGUCAGCCCUUGUUGUGGGCCCCAGACCAGGACUCUGGGAUUUCUCCCUAGCGUAACACCUCACAUACUGGAGAGGGCCAAGAUUAGGCAGAGCUCCUGCUGUGGAGAGAUAGUGUGGGAAGCACAGAACGGUGAGAAAGAUAUCUGUCCAGUGGAAAUGUGAGGUACCACAGUCUCAGGAAGGAAGCACUGAACCAUAAGUAUGAACAAAGACAAGUGAGAAAAAGGCACAAAUUCAAUUUUGUAACCCUCUGCCCAUUAUCAGCAAAGUAUAUUUAUGGGAUGAUACAAACUCUGCUUCUAUCCAGACUCUGCAAGCUCUUGAAUGGAGUGACCCAGUCCUCUGAGAAGCCCCAGCCAAGCAGAAGCAAACACAGACUACAUCCCUUUAAGUAGAGCAACAAAUAAGACCUCACUGAAAGUUAGGGAGAAACAUGCCUUCUUCUGAGGAAUGUGGCAUAAUUCCAAUAUAUCGCCUUUGUUAAAUGAUUUAUAGCAAUGAGAGAGAGAGAUACUAACUCUUCAGUUUUCUUGCCAGAACAGGAUUAUUCCCUGCAGCAAACUGGAUUACACAGUUAAAAUAAUGCAAGCCAAGUCCAAAUGCUUGUGCCAUGCCCACUGCAGGGAGGAGCUCAUACAAAAGUGUGUGAGCCUACACUGAAAUAAAUCCUAAUGAGGUAGAAAGUGACAUCAUGGAGGAGGCCAUGACUGAUCACAGGCCAAGGAGACUGUCCAGCAAAAGGAACACUGCACUUUGGAAAGUCCACCCAAGUCAGUGGGAAGAGACACAAAAUUAACUUUGAGAACAUGUUUAGCAUUUGUUGAGCACCAAAAGUCAACAUCCAUCCAAACUCCAUCCAUGCAAAGUUAGUGGGCCAGAUUUUGACACAAUGAGUACAACUGUACAUCCUGCAAGAGAUGAGACUGGCAGACAGGAGGGCAUUGACAACAGCACAGAGCAACAUAUACAAUGAUCCACAGACAGCAGUAAGGGAAACACUGUGACUUACACUGCUGGGCAGGAGCCUGAGAAGCACUGUGGAGUGUGUGCAGGUUGGAUGAUGAUGAGAGAAGCAAUUUGAUCUCUUUUUCAAAGGGAUUUAUUGUCACAUGCAAUAGCAGCUUCACUAGAGAUGGACAGACUAUCAGCCUGAAAGCAGAGAGAUAUUCAUUAAGUUUAGGAUGGAUUUCGGGGCACAAGACAAUGUGUUGUCGGAAAUUAUAAUAUUAAUAGAAAUAGAAAGCAAUAGAUUUGUAAGGUGGAUGGGAAUAAUCUGGGGUUCACAGCAGGGAGUUUAUCCCCUUUAAAGGAACAGGAAAUCUGGACAGUUGAAUAAAUGGACUAAAAAAAGAUCAUCUUUGUAAUAAAAGGAAGGGUGAUGCACCCUGAAGCAAGGUGAACACCAGGUCAGCUUGUAACUGUUUCUAGAGAAUGAAGAAACAUUCACCUGAAACCAGGGUAGAGCUGGAACUGGAACAGCCAAGUUGUCCACAACGUUUGACUUGAGACUGCAGCAUGACUCGAGUCAGUUCUCAUGCUCUGAAUGCCUGGAGAAAAGGAGACUCAGGGGUGACCUUAUCACUCUCUACAACUUCCUGAAAGGCAGUUCUAGUCAAGUGGGGUCGGUCUCUUUCACCAGGCAGCAACUGACAGAACCAGAGGACACAGUCUCAAGCUGCAUCAAGGGAAAUAUAGGUUGGAUUUUAGGAAAAAGUUUUUCAUGGGAUGAGUGUUAAAGUUCUGGAAUGGCCUGCCUGGGGAGGUGGUGGAGUCACCAUGCCUGGAUGUGUUCAAAACAAGACUGGAUGUGGCACUCAGUGCCAUGGUUUAGUUGAGGUGUUAGGGCAUGGGUUGGACUCAGUGAUCUUGAAGGUCUCUUCCAACCUGGUCAUUCUGUGAAUCUGUGAAUGCUUUGCUCCAGUGCCACCAUCCCUGGCAUACACAAAGUGUAUGUUCUUUGUGUGAGACAUUCAUGUGAGGCAGCACUGUUGGUCAUAUGUGUGCAUGAUGCUUCAGCCAUUUUGCAGCCAAAGGAAUAGAAAACUGCUGGUUUCUGCUUUUUCCUCACUUAAGGGAACAGGAUCAGAUAUUUUUUGUCUAUGCCACUGCUGACUGUCAGGAAAUUCAUAGGAACUUAUCAACUUUGGUCUGAUUCUAUGGAAUUUACAAGAAUGGUGGCAAAUCGCAGUAUAGCUCCAAAACUCUUAGCAGAGUGAUUAGCAUCUUUGUGUGUGUCUGCUCAUUAAGGAGCUUGGCCAAAACUAUAAAUGCUGUAGAAACAGGAAACAACAAAAUUUUAAUUCAACCAAACAUGCAGGUAACUCCAAUGAAGGCUUGGUGCAUCCUAAGAGACAGGCAAGUGGAACAAGCAAUUGCACCUUACAAGUUUUCCACACCAGCAACUUGACAGGUGCAGUGUCUCCAAAAGAAAGGGUGUAAAGAGUUUGAAAAUUUAAAGUUGCUCAUCAUAAAAUCUCUUUACAUAUACACUACAAGAAUGAAAGCAGUGCUCAAAAUGGCUUCAGAUGUUCAUGUUCUGCAUUCAACAGCCACACUCAAAACUCUGCUCAAUGUUAAAGAGGUUUGUGGUCACUGUAAAAGCGUGGGGGGUGCUGGAGGUGCUAGAGGCUCAGUGACAAGUGACUAAUCAAGGACUUCAAAGCUUUUCAGAUAUGAAACCACUGACUUACUUGAGGCAGUGUAUUAUGUUGUGCUUAAACUGGCUCAAGAAUCAAGAAAUGAAAAAUGGCAAAUGCUCUGCAGUUUCUGAAUGGAGAUUGAGAAAAUUAGGGAAUGGUCAACAUACCCAUCACCCUGGGAAGAACAGUAUGGGUAUAAAAAAUCUGAGUGUCUUCAUACACAGUAAGCUAACUUUUAUGAGCAAUGAGCACAAAAUACUUCUUGCAUUACAGAAGAGGUGGGGGACUGCUUGCAGAUAGAAAAUAUCUUCACCCUUCUCCAAGGUGGUAAAAGUUUUCUUUCAAGUACAUUCAGCAAACUGAAAAAACAGCUGGUGAAAGAAGACGUUUUCAUGGAGAAAAGUCCAGACCUAAAAAUCAAACAUGUGAAUUUUAUUUUAAAAAAACAACAACAAAAGAAACAAAACAAAAAACCCACCCAGGCCAAUGUAAGGUUUUGUCUCAUUUCAGCAGGAAAAUGAUUGCCAGAAUAGCAGCUCAAGAUAUGAAGCCACAGAAAAUUAUUCAGGCUAGUAGCAGAGUGUGCGUCCAGGUUCAGGAAAGAGAAGAGA
Long non-coding RNA from Passer domesticus (house sparrow), 3702 nucleotides. RefSeq lists it as uncharacterized. The record is from RefSeq and is a predicted model, not a curated record. Lineage: Eukaryota; Metazoa; Chordata; Aves; Passeriformes; Passeridae. The transcript has 3 exons.